RNAcentral lists this small nuclear RNA (107 nucleotides) under Myotis davidii. Lineage: Eukaryota; Metazoa; Chordata; Mammalia; Chiroptera; Vespertilionidae. The record is from RNAcentral.
GUGCUUGCUUCGGCAGCGCAUAUACUAAAAUUGGAACGAUACAGAUAAGAUUAGCAUGGCCCUUGUGCAAGGAUGACACGCAAAUUCGUGAACCGUUCCAUAUUUUU